Molecule: small nuclear RNA, 108 nt
Organism: Ictidomys tridecemlineatus (thirteen-lined ground squirrel)
Lineage: Eukaryota; Metazoa; Chordata; Mammalia; Rodentia; Sciuridae
Source: Ensembl
GUUCUCUCAGCAGCACUUAUACUAAAAUUAGAAGGAUAGAGAAAAGAUUCAUUAAUAUGGCCCCUGGGCAAGGAUGGUGUGCAGAUUCGUGAAGCACUCCAUACUAAA